GGCAGCACGGGAGCAAUCCUGGUGGCGAGUGGCGAACGGGUGAGUAAUAUAUCGGAACGUGCCCAGUCGUGGGGGAUAACGCAGCGAAAGCUGUGCUAAUACCGCAUACGAUCUAUGGAUGAAAGCGGGGGACCGUAAGGCCUCGCGCGAUUGGAGCGGCCGAUAUCAGAUUAGCUUGUUGGUGGGGUAAAAGCCCACCAAGGCGACGAUCUGUAGCUGGUCUGAGAGGGCGACCAGCCACACUGGAACUGAGACACGGUCCAGACUCCUACGGGAGGCAGCAGUGGGGAAUUUUGGACAAUGGGCGCAAGCCUGAUCCAGCAAUGCCGCGUGCAGGAUGAAGGCCUUCGGGUUGUAAACUGCUUUUGUACGGAACGAAACGGCUCUUUCUAAUAAAGAGGGCUAAUGACGGUACCGUAAGAAUAAGCACCGGCUAACUACGUGCCAGCAGCCGCGGUAAUACGUAGGGUGCGAGCGUUAAUCGGAAUUACUGGGCGUAAAGCGUGCGCAGGCGGUUAUAUAAGACAGAUGUGAAAUCCCCGGGCUCAACCUGGGACCUGCAUUUGUGACUGUAUAGCUAGAGUACGGUAGAGGGGGAUGGAAUUCCGCGUGUAGCAGUGAAAUGCGUAGAUAUGCGGAGGAACACCGAUGGCGAAGGCAAUCCCCUGGACCUGUACUGACGCUCAUGCACGAAAGCGUGGGGGAGCAACAGGAUUAGAUACCCUGGUAGUCCACGCCCUAAACGAUGUCAACUGGGUGUUGGGUCUUCACUGACUCAGUAACGAAGCUAACGCGUGAAGUUGACCGCCUGGGGAGUACGGCCGCAAGG
RNAcentral lists this ribosomal RNA (829 nucleotides) under uncultured bacterium. Its description in RNAcentral is "bacterial SSU rRNA". It matches the Rfam family "Bacterial small subunit ribosomal RNA", at positions 68 to 893 of the family's 1533-position model. The record is from RNAcentral.